Long non-coding RNA from Orbicella faveolata, 517 nucleotides. The record is from RefSeq and is a predicted model, not a curated record. NCBI's taxonomy places the organism in Eukaryota, Metazoa, Cnidaria, Anthozoa, Scleractinia, Merulinidae.
GUGCUCCUUGGGCGCUCAGACAACACAGUAACAAGCGCUAGAAUAUUCAAGAAGAAGACAACAGUUUAUCAUAUUUGUACAACGACUGGAAAUUUCAACUCCAUUAUUGUAUCUACUACUCUCCGGGGUUUCAUUUUUGACUCAUUUUUCCCGGAAAAUUCGUAUCGUCGUGUCGAUAGAUGAUUGUUCACUUCCUCAAAUGACUGCAGGCUCACAAAGUUGGUUCUCUUCCGAGAAAGCAAGUCAUGGCUUCCUAGCACAUAUGCAACCAUGUUUAGCUACAAUUUAGCUGCUGUAAUCAAAGUAUUAUGCAAACAUGCACGAUGCAUUUGAACAUGCAGUUAUCCUUGAGAAGUUGCCUUUACAAAUAGAGUGCAUCGCUACAUUUGGUGACAAUCUCCUUGUUGGAACAAGGCAAGGGCACUUGCUGCUGUACAGUGUUAAGGAUGGCACAGGAGAUAACAGAUUUGAGGUGGAGCUACGUAGCUCAAACAAGCUAUUCUCAAAGAAGCCUAUU